This 64-nucleotide transfer RNA is filed under the name Cavia porcellus (domestic guinea pig). It matches the Rfam family "tRNA". From Rfam's summary of the family: Transfer RNA (tRNA) molecules are approximately 80 nucleotides in length. Their secondary structure includes four short double-helical elements and three loops (D, anti-codon, and T loops). Further hydrogen bonds mediate the characteristic L-shaped molecular structure. tRNAs have two regions of fundamental functional importance: the anti-codon, which is responsible for specific mRNA codon recognition, and the 3' end, to which the tRNAs corresponding amino acid is attached (by aminoacyl-tRNA synthetases). tRNAs cope with the degeneracy of the genetic code in two manners: having more than one tRNA (with a specific anti-codon) for a particular amino acid; and 'wobble' base-pairing, i.e. permitting non-standard base-pairing at the 3rd anti-codon position. Lineage: Eukaryota; Metazoa; Chordata; Mammalia; Rodentia; Caviidae. The record is from Rfam by way of RNAcentral.
AGGGAUUUAGCUUAGCGGCAUAAGCACCUGCCUUGAAAGCAGGCAGUCGUGAGUUUGAUCCCUG